This 710-nucleotide ribosomal RNA is filed under the name uncultured bacterium. Its description in RNAcentral is "bacterial SSU rRNA". It matches the Rfam family "Bacterial small subunit ribosomal RNA", at positions 94 to 823 of the family's 1533-position model. The record is from RNAcentral.
AGCGGCGGACGGGUGAGUAACGCGUGGGUAACCUGCCCUGUACACACGGAUAACAUACCGAAAGGUAUGCUAAUACGAGAUAAUAUGCUUUUAUCGCAUGGUAGAAGUAUCAAAGCUUUUGCGGUACAGGAUGGACCCGCGUCUGAUUAGCUAGUUGGUAAGGUAACGGCUUACCAAGGCGACGAUCAGUAGCCGACCUGAGAGGGUGAUCGGCCACAUUGGAACUGAGACACGGUCCAAACUCCUACGGGAGGCAGCAGUGGGGAAUAUUGCACAAUGGGCGAAAGCCUGAUGCAGCAACGCCGCGUGAGCGAUGAAGGCCUUCGGGUCGUAAAGCUCUGUCCUCAAGGAAGAUAAUGACGGUACUUGAGGAGGAAGCCCCGGCUAACUACGUGCCAGCAGCCGCGGUAAUACGUAGGGGGCUAGCGUUAUCCGGAAUUACUGGGCGUAAAGGGUGCGUAGGUGGUUUCUUAAGUCAGAGGUGAAAGGCUACGGCUCAACCGUAGUAAGCCUUUGAAACUGGGAAACUUGAGUGCAGGAGAGGAGAGUGGAAUUCCUAGUGUAGCGGUGAAAUGCGUAGAUAUUAGGAGGAACACCAGUUGCGAAGGCGGCUCUCUGGACUGUAACUGACACUGAGGCACGAAAGCGUGGGGAGCAAACAGGAUUAGAUACCCUGGUAGUCCACGCCGUAAACGAGGAGUACUAGCUGU